UACGGGGGUUGCGAGCGUUGUUCGGAAUAACUGGGCGUAAAGCGAGCGCAGGCGGCUCGAUCAGUCUGAAGUGAAAUCCCAGGGCUCAACCUUGGGUCUGCUUUGGAUACUGUCGAGCUCGAGUACGUGAGAGGAGAGUGGAAUUCCAGGUGUAGCGGUGAAAUGCGUAGAUAUCUGGAGGAACACCGGUGGCGAAAGCGGCUCUCUGGCACAGUACUGACGCUGAGGCUCGAAAGCGUGGGGAGCAAACGGG
This 253-nucleotide ribosomal RNA is filed under the name uncultured bacterium. RNAcentral's name for it is "partial 16S ribosomal RNA". It matches the Rfam family "Bacterial small subunit ribosomal RNA", at positions 524 to 776 of the family's 1533-position model. The record is from RNAcentral.